CCGCUUAUUUCAGCAGCACAUAUACUAAAAUUAGAAUGAUACAGAGAAGAUUAGCGUGGUCCCUGCACAGGGACGACAUACACAUUUUUGAAAACAUUAGAAGAGAA
Molecule: small nuclear RNA, 107 nt
Organism: Cercocebus atys (sooty mangabey)
Lineage: Eukaryota; Metazoa; Chordata; Mammalia; Primates; Cercopithecidae
Source: Ensembl